GACGAACGCUGGCGGCGUGCCUAACACAUGCAAGUCGAGCGAUGAAAUCCUUCGGGAUGGAUUAGCGGCGGACGGGUGAGUAACACGUGGGUAACCUGCCUUGUAGAGGGGGAUAGCCUUCCGAAAGGAAGAUUAAUACCGCAUAACAUCUUUUAUCGCAUGGUAGAAAGAUCAAAGGAGCAAUCCGCUACAAGAUGGACCCGCGGCGCAUUAGCUAGUUGGUGAGGUAACGGCUCACCAAGGCGACGAUGCGUAGCCGACCUGAGAGGGUGAUCGGCCACAUUGGAACUGAGACACGGUCCAG
Molecule: ribosomal RNA, 304 nt
Filed under: uncultured bacterium
Lineage: Bacteria
Description: bacterial SSU rRNA
Rfam family: Bacterial small subunit ribosomal RNA
Source: RNAcentral